CCUACGGGAGGCAGCAGUGAGGAAUAUUGGUCAAUGGACGAGAGUCUGAACCAGCCAAGUAGCGUGAAGGACGACUGCCCUAUGGGUUGUAAACUUCUUUUAUAAAGGAAUAAAACGAGGCACGUGUGCCUUUUUGCAUGUACUUUAUGAAUAAGGAUCGGCUAACUCCGUGCCAGCAGCCGCGGUAAUACGGAGGAUCCGAGCGUUAUCCGGAUUUAUUGGGUUUAAAGGGAGCGUAGAUGGGUUGUUAAGUCAGUUGUGAAAGUUUGCGGCUCAACCGUAAAAUUGCAAUUGAUACUGGCAGUCUUGAGUACAGUUGAGGUAGGCGGAAUUCGUGGUGUAGCGGUGAAAGGCUUAGAUAUCACGAAGAACUCCGAUUGCGAAGGCAGCUUACUAAACUGCCACUGACAUUGAUGCUCGAAAGUGUGGGUAUCAAACAGGAUUAGAUACCCUUGUAGUC
RNAcentral lists this ribosomal RNA (460 nucleotides) under uncultured bacterium. RNAcentral's name for it is "partial 16S ribosomal RNA". It matches the Rfam family "Bacterial small subunit ribosomal RNA", at positions 338 to 795 of the family's 1533-position model. The record is from RNAcentral.